This 378-nucleotide ribosomal RNA is filed under the name uncultured bacterium. RNAcentral's name for it is "bacterial SSU rRNA". It matches the Rfam family "Bacterial small subunit ribosomal RNA", at positions 521 to 896 of the family's 1533-position model. The record is from RNAcentral.
UAAUACGGAGGGGGCAAGCGUUGUUCGGAUUUACUGGGCGUAAAGGGAGCGUAGGCGGUUGAUCAAGUCCGGUGUGAAAGCUUCACCACUCAACGGGAAGAGGUCACUGGAAACUGGUCGGCUAGAGUAAGGUAGAGGCAAGCGGAAUUCCUGGUGUAGCGGUGGAAUGUGUAGAUAUCAGGAAGAACAUCUGUGGCGAAGGCGGCUUGCUGGGCCUUUACUGACGCUGAGGCUCGAAAGCGUGGGGAGCAAACGGGAUUAGAUACCCCGGUAGUCCACGCUGUAAACGGUGAGCACUAGGUGUGGGGGGUAUCGACCCCUCCCGUGCCGUAGUUAACACAUUAAGUGCUCCGCCUGGGGAGUACGGCCGCAAGGUUG